UAAGAGCUGCUCCAUUUCCUCUAGGAUUAUUGUGAAGUCACUGACUUCGUUCUUACAUAAGGUUUGCUGUUCCAGGAACUGGACACUUUCCUCUUCUUUCAGCUUCAACUUCACCUUCAAGGCCUGAAAGGGAAAUAAUCCCAAAGGAAAAACCAUAACAAAACACGUAUAAGAAAGACAGCACCUGGGCUAGACCAUUAUACCCGUGCUACAUAGAGGGGGACAACCCCAAUACCAGACAACAUCUUAUUUCCCACCUUAGAAUUUAUCUGUGCUGGUUCAGGGAAUUUUCCCACUCUGUAUUUAAGCGGAACAAUGAAUCCAUCUGUGUCUCCUGCCCCACCAUUUGUCUGGCAAUCUGAAGGAGCCCAAGAAUCUCACCAUGUAGAUCAGACUUCAAACUUACCCAGACCCCUGCCUGUGUGAUAAAAGGCAUCAAAUUCAGACAGCAACGCUUGUAUGGCAAGGACCUUAAUCCACCGACCAGCCAUCUUAAGCCUUCUGGCCACUCUUCCCUUCCAUCCUAAAACAUUAAAAAAACCCAUCUAAUGUGCAUGUGAAGACAUGUGUGCAUGCAUUGAGAUGUGUGUGGAGGCCAGAGGACGACUUAGGGAACUGGUUUUUCCUUCCAUCACACAGGUUCUGGGAUCGAACUUGUUUGUGAGGCUUGCAACAAGGACUUUUACUUAUUGAGCCAUCUCAGCUCUCUACUAUUUUAAAAAAUUUACUUGUAGGGAAGGGGGGAAUUUAUACCACCCGGUGAGGUCAGAGGACAAGGUGAAGGACCCAGUCCAGGCCAUCAGGCUUGGCGGCAAGACCCUUUACCCCACCUUGAAUG
This 838-nucleotide long non-coding RNA is filed under the name Mus pahari (shrew mouse). RNAcentral describes it as "lncRNA (MGP_PahariEiJ_G0003337.1)". Lineage: Eukaryota; Metazoa; Chordata; Mammalia; Rodentia; Muridae. The record is from RNAcentral.